UGUGUGUAAUUUAAAAAAAAUAUCAAGCUGUGACCCUGAAAAUAGACAUUCUCACACACC
RNAcentral lists this transfer RNA (60 nucleotides) under Vipera berus (adder). RNAcentral describes it as "tRNA-His". Lineage: Eukaryota; Metazoa; Chordata; Lepidosauria; Squamata; Viperidae. The record is from RNAcentral. RNAcentral also lists the same sequence under 1 other name.